UACGGGGGGGGCAAGCGUUGUUCGGAAUUACUGGGCGUAAAGGGCUCGUAGGCGGCCAACUAAGUCAUACGUGAAAUCCCUCGGCUUAACCGGGGAACUGCGUCUGAUACUGGAUGGCUUGAGUUCGGGAGAGGGAUGCGGAAUUUCAGGUGUAGCGGUGAAAUGCGUAGAUAUCUGGAGGAACACCGGUGGCGAAGGCGGCAUCCUGGACCGAUACUGACGCUGAGGAGCGAAAGCCAGGGGAGCAAACGGG
RNAcentral lists this ribosomal RNA (253 nucleotides) under uncultured bacterium. RNAcentral describes it as "partial 16S ribosomal RNA". It matches the Rfam family "Bacterial small subunit ribosomal RNA", at positions 524 to 776 of the family's 1533-position model. The record is from RNAcentral.